CGACUUUAGCCGCCUAUAAAUUGAGCCGGGUGCUGUACCAUGACGCAUCGCACCAUCCGCAGCUAGUCGCCGUGCACACCAGCCACAGACCGAACUCUUCUUCUAUAGCUGAAUACCGUGACGCCUCGCACCAUCCGCAGCUAGUCGCCGUGCACACCAGCCACAUACCGAACUCUUCUUCUCUAGCUGAAGAAUAGAACAUAUUGGAUCUCCUCGCCCAGGCCAUCUUGGUCCGAUUCAUCUCGAGGCGACGGAGUGAUCGAGGAGGAGCGCGCUGAGGAGCAGUACUACGAGCCGGAGCCAGAAGACCCGUACCGCGAUCAGGAAGCCGCCGACUCAGGAUCCCGACUUUGUGCCGGAAGACUACGAGUAGAUCGUGUCCGCACCCAAGCUGAUCGAGUGGAGCCAUGAUGGAUGAAGAGUUAGUCCUGCAUAUCGUUAUGAUAGUUAUUAUCCUAUGAUUGUUCUGUGUAGCUUUGUGUUGUCACCUUACUUCUCGUGUACGUGUUAAAUAAAAGCUCUGUAUGACUCUGGACUCCACUUGAUGUAACAUGUAUUGUGCCGGAGACUUAAUUCGGUAAUUAAUACAUGGUUUAGCCUUGAUCUUUGGGUCGAGGCGCUUCAG
Long non-coding RNA from Panicum virgatum (switchgrass), 625 nucleotides. RefSeq lists it as uncharacterized. Lineage: Eukaryota; Viridiplantae; Streptophyta; Magnoliopsida; Poales; Poaceae. The transcript has 3 exons. The record is from RefSeq and is a predicted model, not a curated record.